AUCAGAGAAUAAAAAAAAUUAAUACCAAAUUUAAAGCAUAGUCAGAGCUUUCUUUAAAAGAUCUCUAGCUUCUUCCAAUUGACAGGUCAAUUGCGUUGAAGAAAUCUCACGCGCAGAAUAAGAUCGAUUUGCCAAUAUUAUUAUAGUGGGCGUCAUGUCUCCAGAUUACUUCCUUCAAGUUAGCGAUAGUCGAUCCGUAACUGGUAUCAGCAAGCAGGCAUCAGUAAUACGAACCGUCUUCCUUAGGCACUCACGCGACACGCUGUAUUAUUAGACACCGCAUGGCAUCGCGCGCAAUCUGUAAUAUGGAAUUGGCUAUUAGUAACAAGAAAUCUCAAGAAGUAUAGCGUUUAUUAAUAUAAGAUAUUCGCCGCUUCUAUCAUUUUGGACUUUAAUCUGGUUUCGUCAAUGACACCGGCAUUCCACUGACCUUUAGCCAAGAAUAGUAACGAAACACAUUUAAGAAGCACAUACCUCUUACACGACUGUACCCCGGCUCCACAACGUCCAAUACUUGAAGCAAUAAACGGCA
Long non-coding RNA from Trachymyrmex septentrionalis, 532 nucleotides. RefSeq lists it as uncharacterized. The record is from RefSeq and is a predicted model, not a curated record. The transcript has 6 exons. NCBI's taxonomy places the organism in Eukaryota, Metazoa, Arthropoda, Insecta, Hymenoptera, Formicidae.